CCUACGGGUGGCAGCAGUAAGGAAUAUUGGUCAAUGGACGAAAGUCUGAACCAGCCAUGCCGCGUGGAGGAUGAAGGUCCUCUGGAUUGUAAACUUCUUUUAUAUGGGACGAAAAAAGGGUUUUCUAACUCACUUGACGGUACCAUAUGAAUAAGCACCGGCUAACUCCGUGCCAGCAGCCGCGGUAAUACGGAGGGUGCAGGCGUUAUCGGGAUUCAAGGGGUCGUAGGGGAGUGGGUAAGGCUGUGGAGAAAUCCCCGAGCUUAACUCGGGAACUGCCAUUGAUACUAUCAGUCUUGAAUACCGUGGAGGUCAGCGGAAUAUGUCAUGUAGCGGUGAAAUGCUUAGAUAUGACAUAGAACACCAAUUGCGAAGGCAGCUGGCUACCCGAAUAUUGACACUGAGGCUCGAAAGCGUGGGGAUCAAACAGGAUUAGAUACCCCGGAAGUC
This 450-nucleotide ribosomal RNA is filed under the name uncultured bacterium. RNAcentral describes it as "partial 16S ribosomal RNA". It matches the Rfam family "Bacterial small subunit ribosomal RNA", at positions 338 to 795 of the family's 1533-position model. The record is from RNAcentral.